Molecule: ribosomal RNA, 556 nt
Filed under: uncultured bacterium
Lineage: Bacteria
Description: bacterial SSU rRNA
Rfam family: Bacterial small subunit ribosomal RNA
Source: RNAcentral
AGCUUGUUGGUGAGGUAACGGCUCACCAAGGCGACGACGGGUAGCCGGCCUGAGAGGGCGACCGGCCACACUGGGACUGAGACACGGCCCAGACUCCUACGGGAGGCAGCAGUGGGGAAUAUUGCGCAAUGGGCGAAAGCCUGACGCAGCGACGCAGCGUGAGGGACGAAGGCCUUCGGGUUGUAAACCUCUUUCAGCGGGGACGAAGCGAGAGUGACGGUACCCGCAGAAGAAGCACCGGCUAACUACGUGCCAGCAGCCGCGGUAAUACGUAGGGUGCAAGCAUUGUCCGGAUUUAUUGGGCGUAAAGAGCUCGUAGGCGGCUUGUCACGUCGGGUGUGAAAACUCGGGGCUCAACCCCGAGCCUGCACUCGAUACGGGCUAGCUAGAGUGUUGCAGGGGAGACUGGAAUUCCUGGUGUAGCGGUGAAAUGCGCAGAUAUCAGGAGGAACACCAGCGGCGAAGGCGGUGCUCUGGGCCGGUACUGACGCUGAGGAGCGAAAGCGUGGGGAGCGAACAGGAUUAGAUACCCUGGUAGUCCACGCCGUAAACGUUG